Molecule: ribosomal RNA, 484 nt
Filed under: uncultured bacterium
Lineage: Bacteria
Description: partial 16S ribosomal RNA
Rfam family: Bacterial small subunit ribosomal RNA
Source: RNAcentral
AGUGAACGCUGGCGGCAGGCCUAACACAUGCAAGUCGAGCGGCAGCGGGUCCUUCGGGAUGCCGGCGAGCGGCGGACGGGUGAGGAAUACAUCGGAAUCUGCCCUGUCGUGGGGGAUAACCUAGGGAAACUUAGGCUAAUACCGCAUACGACCUACGGGUGAAAGCGGGGGAUCGCAAGACCUCGCGCGACAGGAUGAGCCGAUGUCCGAUUAGCUAGUUGGCGGGGUAAAGGCCCACCAAGGCGACGAUCGGUAGCUGGUCUGAGAGGAUGAUCAGCCACACUGGGACUGAGACGCGGCCCAGACUCCUACGGGAGGCAGCAGUGGGGAAUAUUGGACAAUGGGCGCAAGCCUGAUCCAGCCAUGCCGCGUGGGUGAAGAAGGCCUUCGGGUUGUAAAGCCCUUUUGUCCGGGAAGAAAUCGUCUGGGCUAAUACCCCGGGCGGAUGACGGUACCGGAAGAAUAAGCACCGGCUAACUUCGUG